AGUAAAAGUCGUAACAAGGUUUCCGUAGGUGAACCUGCGGAAGGAUCAUUAGCGAAGUUCGGAAUGCCGGUUCGGUGCUGCAGCUGCCCAGCGAUGGGAUGUGCUCGUCCGGGCCGGUGUCCCUUCUCUAUUCCACCCCACUGUGAACCAAGCGUGCGAGCAGAAGAGAGAUCGGAAGCUCGCAUGCACACUUUAACAUACCCCCUUAUGAAGUAUCUGAAUGUACCUUGCGUUAACUCGCACAAAUACAACUUUCAACAACGGAUCUCUUGGCUCUCGCAUCGAUGAAGAACGCAGCGAAAUGCGAUAAGUAAUGUGAAUUGCAGAAUUCAGUGAAUCAUCGAAUCUUUGAACGCACCUUGCGCCCUUUGGCAUUCCGAAGGGCACGCCUGUUUGAGUGUCGUGAACUCCUCCACUCUCUGCUUUUCUCGAAAGGCAUUGGGCUGGGAUUUGGGAGCUUGCGGGUCCCUGGCCGAUCCGCUCUCCUUGAAUACAUUAGCGAAGCCCUUGCGGCCUUGGUGUGAUAGUCAUCUACGCCUUGGCUUAGCGAACAUAUGGGAGUCGCUUCCAACCGUCCCUCUGCGGACAAUCACUACCAACUUGACCUCGAAUCAGGCGGGACUACCCGCUGAACUUAAGCAUAUCAAUAAGCGGAGGA
Molecule: ribosomal RNA, 658 nt
Filed under: uncultured fungus
Lineage: Eukaryota; Fungi
Description: eukaryotic LSU rRNA
Rfam family: 5.8S ribosomal RNA (bases 250-403)
Source: RNAcentral